RNAcentral lists this ribosomal RNA (127 nucleotides) under Kribbella jiaozuonensis. Its description in RNAcentral is "Kribbella sp. NEAU-THZ 27 partial 16S ribosomal RNA". It matches the Rfam family "Bacterial small subunit ribosomal RNA", at positions 1 to 126 of the family's 1533-position model. Lineage: Bacteria; Bacillati; Actinomycetota; Actinomycetes; Propionibacteriales; Kribbellaceae. The record is from RNAcentral.
UUUCAACGGAGAGUUUGAUCCUGGCUCAGGACGAACGCUGGCGGCGUGCUUAACACAUGCAAGUCGAGCGGUAAGGCCCCUUCGGGGGUACACGAGCGGCGAACGGGUGAGUAACACGUGAGCAACC